This is a long non-coding RNA of Mirounga angustirostris (Northern elephant seal), 2910 nucleotides long. RefSeq lists it as uncharacterized. The transcript is spliced from 4 exons. The record is from RefSeq and is a predicted model, not a curated record. Lineage: Eukaryota; Metazoa; Chordata; Mammalia; Carnivora; Phocidae.
GUCACAUGAACUUUAUUUCAGGCAUGGAAAUACAUUCCAGCCUUCUGCAUCCUUGAGCCCCACAUCACUCCCCUCAGGAGUGAUGGUGAUUUGUUAAGACCUCUAUCCUAAAACCUUCACCUCCCCAUGCUCUACAAGUGGAGUAACUUCAGAAGUAAACAGCCCUCCCUCCUAACCCAUUGGCCAGAUCUCACAGCUUUGUAUACUUUGGGCAGAGGCUGGUCUCUCAGCCACCGCAAGACUGUGAGCCUCCCAGGGCCUGGCCUCCACCUGUCUCUCCAGACCUCUCAUCCCUGGAAUCCUCAGCCACUGGCCAGUCUGGUAACGGGACACCUCUACCUUGCUGGUUGCUCAGAACCCUUGGAGUUUACUUCUUUAUGUUCUCUGUAACUCUAAAUGAUCCAUUGUUUAGCUGUAAAUGUUCUUAAGCAUUGCAUACUAUAUAUGUAUUCUGUGACUUGCCUUUUCUCUUCAUGUUAGCUUUGUGAGAUUAAUCCAUUCUGGCAUGUUAGUCAUACCACCACUGCAUGUAACACAUCACUGCUCUAUGGUAUUAUAUUUUACGAAUGUAUCACAAUUUAUCCAUUUCCCUGUUGGAGAAUAUGUGUGUUACUUCUUUUUCUCCCCAUUACAAACAAUACCACCAAAGACUUUAUUAAAGAUUUUCUUUAUUUAUUUGACAGAGAGACACAGCGAGAGAGGGAACACAAGCAGGGGGAGUGGGAGAGGGAGAAGCAGGCUUCCCGCAGAGCAGGGAGCCCAACAUGGGGCUUGAUCCCAGGACCCUGGGAUCAUGACCUGAGCUGAAGGCUUAACGCUUAACAACUGAGCCACCCAGGCGCCCUGACUUUUAUUUUUUUUUAUUCUUUAUAACUAAGCUCUACACCCAGCAUGGGUCUUCAGCUCACGACCCUGAGAUCAAGACUCACAUGCUCUACUGAUUGAGCCAGCCAAACGCCCCACCACCAAGGACUUUUGUGUACAUGAAUCCUUAUACAUGCAUGUCAGUUUGAAUAGUCUCCUGUCCUUACAUAUCCAGUUUGUCAGCAAAUCAUGCUGGUGUUACCUUAAAAAUAACACCAAAAUCGGAUUGCAUCUCACACCUCCACUCUGGUAGGCACUCUCAUCAGCUCACCUACAUGACUGCAACAAAGCCUCCUAACUGGUCUCCUGGCUUCCACCCUUACCCUGUUACGGUCUUAUAUCCACACAGCAGCCAGAAGUUUCCCUCCACGCCAUGACUUGGGACUUGUCUCUCUGCUGCUCAGUAUCCUGCAAUGGUUCCCAUUUCACUGAGAGUGAAAGCCAAAGUCUUCACAAGGUCCUCCCAGGUCUAGCUCUGUUGCCUUUGAACUCCUCUCCUACUCUCCACUCUGCCUCAGCCACAUAGCAUGAAGCCAGGAGCUGGUGCGCACUCUCCUGUCAGUGUUCAGGGAGUAAAGGUUUUGCUUGCCGGCUGGGGUCACAACCACAUGCCUUGGUCUGUAGGGUAGACUGAAAUUUGUCAACAGAGCCCGUGGAUGUCAUUUAGGUGGUGAGGAAAUCCUAGAGUGGAGAAAUAACUGUUUUGGACAUCGUUUGUGGAACUGUAACUUUAUACAAUCCAUUUGGAAAACAGUUUGGCAAUACCUAUGAAGUCUGAUGCACAUUCUCUUCAAUGCAGUGUUUACGCUUCUGGAAUACACCCUAAAUACACAUGGAUUAAUCUCACAAACAAUGUGAAGGGGAAAAAAGGCAAGUUAAAAAAGAAUACAUAUGUAGUAUGUAAUGUAUUUUUUAAAAGAUUUUUUUUAAAGAUUUUUACUUAGAGCAGGAGAGGGGGGAGGAUCAGAGGGAGAAGCAGACUCCCUGCUGAGCAGGGAGACUGACACGGAACUCGAUCCUGGGACUCUGAGAUCAUGACCUGAGCCGAGCCAAAGGCAGUCGCUCAACCAACUGAGCCACCCAGGUGCCCAAAUGUAGUAUGUAAUGUUUAAUAAUAUUUACUUAUAUACUUAUACUAUAUAGCUCAACUAUUGUUUAGAGUUAAAUAUAAUAUAGUAAAAGAAAUGCAUGGGAUUGCUAAAUGCUAAAUUCAAGCUAGUAAUUACCUGGGCUGUGACCAGGGGGUGAGUAGAGAGAGUGGUGCAGUCAAGGUGGUAUACAUGGGGGCUCCAUAGGAGCUCACUGUAUAAUUUUUCAUAUUUUUUUAUGUCUGAACUAUUUCUUAACUUAAAAAUAUGGUUUGGGACCUGUGAAUUCUGAAGGGCUGAGCAAAGGCAAAAGCUAAGUCACUCCCACAGAGACACCUGCAGACUCUGAAGCUCAGACAUAGAGCUCCCUUGGAAGACAUCCAAAAUGAGCCAGAUUCCAAAACCCUGGGCAUCCACCCCAACAGGAGCAAGUCAGCAGACGCAGCAGCAGGAAAUUUCCCUGUGGACCCUUUGACCUUAUCAAAUGCCUUGCUGAGACCCAAACAUUCUGAGACACUGAUCUUCCUCUGAUCUCUGUUUUUAAAAUUGUGGCCAAGGAAAUGCCCGUGUGUUUGGCCUGACAUCCUCAGAGGACCCACGAUAGUUCCUGGAUGUUGCUCCCACCUCCAAUAGCAAGGGCAUCUCCACAUCUCCAGGGAUUUAAAAAUAACAGAACCAAGAUCGGGAGAGUGCACAAGCAGAGGGAGCAGCAGAGGGAGAGAGAGAGAGAGAAGCAGGCCCACGGUUGAGCAGGGAACCCAACACGGCGCUCAAUCCCAGGACCCCAAGAUCAUGACCUGAGCGGAAGGCGGAUGCUUAACUGACUGAGCCACCCAGGUUGGUCUGGGUGAGAGGCUUCCCAUCUGCAUUUCACACACCUGCCCCCUGCCUCCCAGAGGACUCCAUCUUAGCAAUAUGAAACAGGGCAGAUUUUUAAAUAUCUCACAGGGCUCCCCCU